RNAcentral lists this unclassified non-coding RNA (1511 nucleotides) under Leishmania donovani. RNAcentral's name for it is "gene:LdHU3.35.2890(CDS-product:kinetoplastid_memb rane_protein-11)". Lineage: Eukaryota; Euglenozoa; Kinetoplastea; Trypanosomatida; Trypanosomatidae. The record is from RNAcentral.
AAGACCUUUGAACCAACGCUACUAACCCCAACCCACACAUCUACUACCUUUUCUUCCUUCCGCGCUUUCUGUUUGCCUUUCGAUCCUCGCUCAAGCUGCGCAUAACACACUCUCCUUUCACGCGCUCGACUUUUCCUUCCACCCCCUCCCCGUGUAAACCAUGGCCACCACGUACGAGGAGUUUUCGGCGAAGCUGGACCGCCUGGAUGAGGAGUUCAACAGGAAGAUGCAGGAGCAGAACGCCAAGUUCUUUGCGGACAAGCCGGAUGAGUCGACGCUGUCGCCCGAGAUGAAGGAGCACUACGAGAAGUUCGAGCGCAUGAUCAAGGAACACACAGAGAAGUUCAACAAGAAGAUGCACGAGCACUCGGAGCACUUCAAGCAGAAGUUCGCCGAGCUGCUCGAGCAGCAGAAGGCUGCGCAGUACCCGUCCAAGUAAGACAGCGAGGGUAAAACCACUGUAGGGUGAGAUUCGGUGUCUUGUGUAUAUGAAGGCGCCCAUCAGCCACACAUAUUUACUUGUCCGCGUUUUUCUUUUCCGCCUUUUCCCCCUCUCUUCUCGUGCUGCAUUGUGUGUAGAGUCACGUGCUCGAUACAUGCACAGAGGCAGCCUUGUUACCGCCCCCGUCUCGCUCGCUGUUUCUGCCUUCGUAUCAAACUCUCCCUUGCUCCCCAGCUGCUCAUCAGCUUGUGUUGCAGGGAAGGUUUAGAGAGAAAGCGGAGGCAAAAUACGUGCCCGCUGGUGACGGGCACACGUGCGCAUGCCUCUGUACGCGGUCGUUUCCAUGUAGGCGUGCGCUUGCCGCGAGAGGCGGCCCUUCAAGACUGUCAAGUGGUCUCACCAGGCUAAACACACACACCAUCAAUGCACGUAUGUAUACAGUGAUGAAAGGGGGAGGGCGAAAUCUACCACCUAAAGAAAAAAAGCAUGAGACGAGGGAAUGGAGAGUUUUUUCGUGCGUUCGUUUUCAGUGCGCGUGCGUGUUCGUAAACAUUCUGUGCGUUGCUGUUCUGGUGUACCUUUGUGUGCAGGACGUGACACACCGAACUGUGCAGCGCAAGCGUAAUGACGCGGCUCCUACUCGCCACCAUGUAUUUUUGUGACCAACCAGUAAGGAAAAAGAAGAGCACGAAUGAAGCAAGUGAUACGGAUCACUAAGAGACCAUUAGUGAAUGCCGUGUAGCCGCACUCGGAGGGUGACUGAAGGAGGCGCUGGAACGGCAUGAUCAACGAGCGGCGGUGCGUGCGGGGUUAUACGUGUGUGAGGGUGGUUCUCUCUUUCGCCCUCUCGUGAUGGAGACAGGGAUGCCGCCAGCUCAUACGGUCACGCGAGGCGAGGGAGCAUGGCUUGUGAGUUCCCAGCGAGGCGACGAGAAAGAAAGGCCCAGCUGCCUUUUUUUUCCCUGUUCGUUCGCGGUGUUGCACAAGCAUUGACGCGGUGCCCUUUUUCUCUCCCGCCCAUACAGGUCUUGUUUCGCUCGCUUGUCGUGACCCCACCCCCUCCGUUUUC